CCUACGGGUGGCAGCAGUAGGGAAUAUUGCUCAAUGGGGGAAACCCUGAAGCAGCAACGCCGCGUGGAGGAUGAAGGUUUUCGGAUUGUAAACUCCUUUUGUUAGAGAAGAUAAUGACGGUAUCUAACGAAUAAGCACCGGCUGAAUCCGUGCCAGCAGCCGCGGUAAUACGGAGGGUGCAAGCGUUAAUCGGAAUCACUGGGCGUAAAGAGCGCGUAGGCGGGAUAGCAAGGCAGAUGUGAAAUCCUCGGGCUUAACCAUAGAACUGCAUUUGAAACUGUUGUGAUAGAGUAUCGGAGAGGUAGGUGGAAUUCUUGGUGUAGGGGUGAAAUGCGUAGAGAUUAGGAGGAAUA
This 353-nucleotide ribosomal RNA is filed under the name uncultured bacterium. RNAcentral describes it as "partial 16S ribosomal RNA". It matches the Rfam family "Bacterial small subunit ribosomal RNA", at positions 338 to 708 of the family's 1533-position model. The record is from RNAcentral.